This 459-nucleotide ribosomal RNA is filed under the name uncultured bacterium. RNAcentral describes it as "partial 16S ribosomal RNA". It matches the Rfam family "Bacterial small subunit ribosomal RNA", at positions 338 to 795 of the family's 1533-position model. The record is from RNAcentral.
CCUACGGGAGGCAGCAGUGAGGAAUAUUGGUCAAUGGGCGGUAGCCUGAACCAGCCAAGCCGCGUGAAGGAAGAAUGCGCCAAGCGUCGUAAACUUCUUUUGUCUGGGAAUAAAGGGCGCCACGUAUGGCGCUGUGAGUGUACCCGAAGAAAAAGCAUCGGCUAACUCCGUGCCAGCAGCCGCGGUAAUACGGAGGAUGCGAGCGUUAUCCGGAUUUAUUGGGUUUAAAGGGUGCGUAGGCGGGCCGGAAAGUCAGCGGUAAAAGCCCGGGGCUCAACCGCGGCGAGCCGUUGAGACUGUCGGACUAGAGAAGGCGAGAGGUACGCGGAAUGCGCGGUGUAGCGGUGAAAUGCAUAGAUAUCGCGCAGAACUCCGAUUGCGAAGGCAGCGUACCGGCGCCGGACUGACGCUGAGGCACGAAAGCGUGGGUAUCGAACAGGAUUAGAUACCCCGGUAGUC